This 1341-nucleotide ribosomal RNA is filed under the name uncultured bacterium. RNAcentral's name for it is "bacterial SSU rRNA". It matches the Rfam family "Bacterial small subunit ribosomal RNA", at positions 28 to 1380 of the family's 1533-position model. The record is from RNAcentral.
GAUGAACUCUGGCGGCGUGCUUAACACAUGCAAGUCGAACGGACUUUAUCUGAAGCCUAGCGAAGAUAAAGUUAGUGGCGGACGGGUGAGUAACGCGUGGGUAACCUGCCGUAUACCGGGGGACAACAGUUGGAAACGACUGCUAAUACCGCAUAAGCGCACAGUUUCGCAUGGAACGGUGUGAAAAACUCCGGUGGUAUACGAUGGACCCGCGUCUGAUUAGCUUGUUGGCGGGGUAACGGCCCACCAAGGCGACGAUCAGUAGCCGGCCUGAGAGGGUGAACGGCCACAUUGGGACUGAGACACGGCCCAAACUCCUACGGGAGGCAGCAGUGGGGAAUAUUGCACAAUGGGGGAAACCCUGAUGCAGCGACGCCGCGUGAGUGAAGAAGUAUUUCGGUAUGUAAAGCUCUAUCAGCAGGAAAGAAAAUGACGGUACCUGACUAAGAAGCCCCGGCUAACUACGUGCCAGCAGCCGCGGUAAUACGUAGGGGGCAAGCGUUAUCCGGAUUUACUGGGUGUAAAGGGAGCGUAGACGGCAAUGCAAGUCUGAAGUGAAAGCCCGCGGCUUAACUGCGGGACUGCUUUGGAAACUGUGUGGCUGGAGUGCAGGAGAGGUAAGUGGAAUUCCUAGUGUAGCGGUGAAAUGCGUAGAUAUUAGGAGGAACACCAGUGGCGAAGGCGGCUUACUGGACUGUAACUGACGUUGAGGCUCGAAAGCGUGGGGAGCAAACAGGAUUAGAUACCCUGGUAGUCCAUGCAGUAAACGAUGAUUACUAAGUGUCUGGAUUUUAGAUCUGGGUGCUAAAGCUAACGCGUUAAGUAAUCCGCCUGAGUAGUACGACCGCAAGGUUAAAACUUAAAGGAAUUGACGGGGACCCGCACAAGCGGUGGAACACGUGGUUUAAUUCGAUAGUCCGCGAAAAACCUUACCAACCCUUGACAUCUCGAUCAUAGGAAUCAGAAAUGAUUUUUUCAGUUCGGCUGGAUCGAAGACAGGUGUUGCAUGGCCGUCGUCAGCUCGUGCCGUGAGGUGUUAGGUUAAGUCCUUUAACGAGCGCAACCCUUGCCUCUAUUUGCCAGCGGGUAAUGCCGGGAACUAUAGAGGGACUGUUGGUGAUAAACCAAAGGAAGAUGGGGAUGAGGUCAGGUCAUCACGACCCUUAUGGGUUGGGCUACACAUAUGUUACAAUGGAAGCUACAAAGGGACACAAAGAAGUGAUUCUGAGUAAAUCCUAAAAAGCUUUCCCAGUUCGGAUUGUAGGCUGCAAUUCGCCUGCAUGAAGUUGGAAUCGCUAGUAAUCGUAGAUCAGCACGCUACGGUGAAUACGUUCUCGGGUC